Molecule: ribosomal RNA, 473 nt
Filed under: Hyperolius microps
Lineage: Eukaryota; Metazoa; Chordata; Amphibia; Anura; Hyperoliidae
Description: partial 16S ribosomal RNA
Rfam family: Bacterial large subunit ribosomal RNA
Source: RNAcentral
UCUUUAAAUAAGGACCAGUAUGAACGGCACCACCGAGGGCUUAACUGUCUCCCCUCUCCAAUCAAUGAAACUGAUCUUCCCGUGAAGAAGCGGGAAUAAUGACAUAAGACGAGAAGACCCCAUGGAGCUUCAAACUAAUUAUCAUCUACUUCAAAAAUAUCUAAUAAAAUAGUAGUAAUGCUCUCAAUAGUUUUCGGUUGGGGCAACCCCGGAGUAAAAUAUAACCUCCAGGAUGAACGGACAAAACCCUAAUUAAAGAAUUACCAUUCAACAACUCAAAAAUUUGACAUCAUUGAUCCAAUUAUAAAUUAAUUGAUCAACGAACCAAGUUACCCUGGGGAUAACAGCGCAAUCCAUUUCAAGAGCCCCUAUCGACAAAUGGGUUUACGACCUCGAUGUUGGAUCGGGGUAUCCUAGCAACGCAGCCGUUGCUUAUGGNUCGUUUGUUCAACGAUUAAAACCCCACGUGAUCU